This 83-nucleotide microRNA precursor is filed under the name Pteropus vampyrus (large flying fox). RNAcentral describes it as "miRNA (ENSPVAG00000030148.1)". The record is from RNAcentral. Lineage: Eukaryota; Metazoa; Chordata; Mammalia; Chiroptera; Pteropodidae.
AGGGUGUCAAAUUGUACUGGUUUGUCUGGGACUGAGGAGUUUCCCAGGAUGCAGGCCUUUUAAGUGCUAAAGCCAGGACAAUC